GUAACACGUAGGUAACCUGCCCAGAAGCGGGGGACAACAUUUGGAAACAGAUGCUAAUACCGCAUAACAACGUUGUUCGCAUGAACAACGCUUAAAAGAUGGCUUCUCGCUAUCACUUCUGGAUGGACCUGCGGUGCAUUAGCUUGUUGGUGGGGUAAUGGCCUACCAAGGCGAUGAUGCAUAGCCGAGUUGAGAGACUGAUCGGCCACAAUGGGACUGAGACACGGCCCAUACUCCUACGGGAGGCAGCAGUAGGGAAUCUUCCACAAUGGGCGCAAGCCUGAUGGAGCAACACCGCGUGAGUGAAGAAGGGUUUCGGCUCGUAAAGCUCUGUUGUUAAAGAAGAACACGUAUGAGAGUAACUGUUCAUACGUUGACGGUAUUUAACCAGAAAGUCACGGCUAACUACGUGCCAGCAGCCGCGGUAAUACGUAGGUGGCAAGCGUUAUCCGGAUUUAUUGGGCGUAAAGAGAGUGCAGGCGGUUUUCUAAGUCUGAUGUGAAAGCCUUCGGCUUAACCGGAGAAGUGCAUCGGAAACUGGAUAACUUGAGUGCAGAAGAGGGUAGUGGAACUCCAUGUGUAGCGGUGGAAUGCGUAGAUAUAUGGAAGAACACCAGUGGCGAAGGCGGCUACCUGGUCUGCAACUGACGCUGAGACUCGAAAGCAUGGGUAGCGAACAGGAUUAG
RNAcentral lists this ribosomal RNA (686 nucleotides) under Limosilactobacillus fermentum. Its description in RNAcentral is "bacterial SSU rRNA". It matches the Rfam family "Bacterial small subunit ribosomal RNA", at positions 110 to 781 of the family's 1533-position model. Lineage: Bacteria; Bacillati; Bacillota; Bacilli; Lactobacillales; Lactobacillaceae. The record is from RNAcentral.